CCCGAAGUAUCCUGAAUCUUUCGCAUUGUUAAUCAUACAAGUGCAUAUAAUAAACACAGAAAAUCAAUGAUUAUCAUGCUAUUAUAUAAUUUAAAAAUUAACGCACUGUAUUCAUAUAAAUCUAUCAACACUUUAUCAAAUUAAUGACAUUUAUUCUAUGUUAAAUUGCAAGCAAAAUAAUUUGAAUAAACUAUAAGCCACGUUUUAUGAUAAAUUUGGCUUUAUGUUAAUAGAUUACAAUGUCCUUAUAUGGAAAAAAUGCACACUAUUAUUAUAAUAUUAUUUAAAUAUUACAAUUUUAAUGAUGAAUUUUCCAUAACGGAUAUUCAGGUUCAUCGGGC
This 341-nucleotide ribosomal RNA is filed under the name Drosophila sturtevanti. RNAcentral describes it as "28S ribosomal RNA, D2 domain". Lineage: Eukaryota; Metazoa; Arthropoda; Insecta; Diptera; Drosophilidae. The record is from RNAcentral.